RNAcentral lists this ribosomal RNA (1372 nucleotides) under uncultured bacterium. RNAcentral's name for it is "16S ribosomal RNA". It matches the Rfam family "Bacterial small subunit ribosomal RNA", at positions 28 to 1381 of the family's 1533-position model. The record is from RNAcentral.
GAUGAACGCUGGCGGCGUGCCUAAUACAUGCAAGUCGAGCGAACGGACGAGAAGCUUGCUUCUCUGAUGUUAGCGGCGGACGGGUGAGUAACACGUGGAUAACCUACCUAUAAGACUGGGAUAACUUCGGGAAACCGGAGCUAAUACCGGAUAAUAUUUUGAACCGCAUGGUUCAAAAGUGAAAGACGGUCUUGCUGUCACUUAUAGAUGGAUCCGCGCUGCAUUAGCUAGUUGGUAAGGUAACGGCUUACCAAGGCAACGAUGCAUAGCCGACCUGAGAGGGUGAUCGGCCACACUGGAACUGAGACACGGUCCAGACUCCUACGGGAGGCAGCAGUAGGGAAUCUUCCGCAAUGGGCGAAAGCCUGACGGAGCAACGCCGCGUGAGUGAUGAAGGUCUUCGGAUCGUAAAACUCUGUUAUUAGGGAAGAACAUAUGUGUAAGUAACUGUGCACAUCUUGACGGUACCUAAUCAGAAAGCCACGGCUAACUACGUGCCAGCAGCCGCGGUAAUACGUAGGUGGCAAGCGUUAUCCGGAAUUAUUGGGCGUAAAGCGCGCGUAGGCGGUUUUUUAAGUCUGAUGUGAAAGCCCACGGCUCAACCGUGGAGGGUCAUUGGAAACUGGAAAACUUGAGUGCAGAAGAGGAAAGUGGAAUUCCAUGUGUAGCGGUGAAAUGCGCAGAGAUAUGGAGGAACACCAGUGGCGAAGGCGACUUUCUGGUCUGUAACUGACGCUGAUGUGCGAAAGCGUGGGGAUCAAACAGGAUUAGAUACCCUGGUAGUCCACGCCGUAAACGAUGAGUGCUAAGUGUUAGGGGGUUUCCGCCCCUUAGUGCUGCAGCUAACGCAUUAAGCACUCCGCCUGGGGAGUACGACCGCAAGGUUGAAACUCAAAGGAAUUGACGGGGACCCGCACAGGCGGUGGAGCAUGUGGUUUAAUUCGAAGCAACGCGAAGAACCUUACCAAAUCUUGACAUCCUUUGACAACUCUAGAGAUAGAGCCUUCCCCUUCGGGGGACAAAGUGACAGGUGGUGCAUGGUUGUCGUCAGCUCGUGUCGUGAGAUGUUGGGUUAAGUCCCGCAACGAGCGCAACCCUUAAGCUUAGUUGCCAUCAUUAAGUUGGGCACUCUAAGUUGACUGCCGGUGACAAACCGGAGGAAGGUGCGGAUGACGUCAAAUCAUCAUGCCCCUUAUGAUUUGGGCUACACACGUGCUACAAUGGACAAUACAAAGGGCAGCGAAACCGCGAGGUCAAGCAAAUCCCAUAAAGUUGUUCUCAGUUCGGAUUGUAGUCUGCAACUCGACUACAUGAAGCUGGAAUCGCUAGUAAUCGUAGAUCAGCAUGCUACGGUGAAUACGUUCCCGGGUCU